RNAcentral lists this long non-coding RNA (900 nucleotides) under Homo sapiens (human). RNAcentral's name for it is "HSALNT0118761". Lineage: Eukaryota; Metazoa; Chordata; Mammalia; Primates; Hominidae. The record is from RNAcentral.
CUCCCAAAGUGCUGGGAUUACAGGCGUGAGCCACAUGAAUAUUUUUAACAGCUUUAUUUAUAGUAGCCCAAAACUGGAGCUAAUUUCUUUUUCUUUUCAAGUAAAAGUCCCACUUCAUACUGGUUAUUCUUUUCAGAAACCAUUUGUCACACUAAGCUGUGUGGUGUAGUUCACAAAAUUAGGGUUUGACCCUUGAUAUUUUAGGGGGGAUAUUUGAUGUGUAAUAUUUAUAGCACCAGUGUAAAUGUUAGAAUCACUGUCUAUAAAACAUGUUAAUGAAAGACCUAAAAAAACUAAACAAUAUACAAAAUUUUUUACAAAUCCAACAUUCAAAAACUAGUCAGUUCAUAUCUAGAGGCAAAAAAUAAAAAUAGUGUAUAUCUUAUUUGAAAACAUUUAAUGUAGUUAAAGUCUUUAAAUGAUUUCACAUUGUUUUAAUGGUCUUUGAAUGACCCUUGCAGUUAGAAAUACAUUUAAACUCAAUUUUAAAAUUAUAAAAUUAUAGCUAUAUCUUCUGAUAAAUUGCAUCUACUUUCCUGGGGAUUAGAAAGCUUGAAUGAGGGGAAAAGCAGAGGUGUGUGCCCAGUUGCUCCAAUUUUAAGUCUAUGAACAAUUUUGAGUCUAUGAACUGCUUUAGGUUUCAUUUUUAUACAUACCAUACCAAAUAGGACAUACUCUUCUCAGGAUAUAGUCAUUUUUCAUUUGUGACUUUCUAAUCAUCCAGAUAGAAUGAGGUGAGUCUGAGUAGUUUUGUUCCUCUAAUAUUUUUUGAAAGGGGAUAAUGAUAUUCUUAUUGCUCACUUUAUAUAUGUAUAUUCUUUCUGUAAAAUGUUCUUAAGAUUUUAUACAAAUGAAAUUAUGUUAUACAUACCUUUUGUGUCUGGCUUUCUUCACUCAGCA